Molecule: long non-coding RNA, 630 nt
Filed under: Homo sapiens (human)
Lineage: Eukaryota; Metazoa; Chordata; Mammalia; Primates; Hominidae
Description: non-protein coding LINC00354:1
Source: RNAcentral
CAAAGACCUGCGCUCUAAUUACCAGCAUAAUUAGAAUAAGAACAUGUUGCUCACUCCAGAGGGGCCCGCCCCGCGCCUCUGCUGCUCUGGGAGAAAGCGUGUUUAAGAAUUCCCAUGGAGUUGCAUGGGAGGAAAAGCGACCCCACGCUGAGCUGCCAACGUGGUUGUCAGCGCGCCCCGUGUGAUUUCGUGCCGCUGUUUUCAAUGCGCUAACGAGGCACGUUAUUCUUAGCCGCGUCCGGGAGGGGAUCACAUUCCUGCGCAGUUGCGCUGCUGGCGGAAGUGACUUGUUUUCUAACGACCCUCGUGACAGCCAGAGAAUGUCCGUUUCUCGGAGCGCAGCACAGCCUGUCCCAUCGAGAAGCCUCGGCUUCCCAGAGACCGUGACAAAAGACAUCAUUCUACGCUGCACAAAAGCAGCCAGAGGCGGCCUCUCCCACGCUCCGGGAGCGAAGGGAAUGAUCUGGCUAGAGAGCAGCACUCCAGGGUGACUCCGUCCUGCUGUCUAACCGGCCUCCGGCAGAGUGGCAGAUCAUCUGACUCUCUGAACCACUCUGAACAUCAGUCUCUUCAUCUCUAAAUGAGGGUGCUGGCCGUGUGGAUCCGCAGGGGUAUCCUGAGGUUUGCCAC